Molecule: ribosomal RNA, 468 nt
Filed under: uncultured bacterium
Lineage: Bacteria
Description: partial 16S ribosomal RNA
Rfam family: Bacterial small subunit ribosomal RNA
Source: RNAcentral
GACGAACGCUGGCGGCGUGCUUAACACAUGCAAGUCGAACGGAAAGGCCCUGCUUUUGUGGGGUGCUCGAGUGGCGAACGGGUGAGUAACACGUGAGUAACCUGCCCUUGACUUUGGGAUAACUUCAGGAAACUGGGGCUAAUACCGGAUAGGAGCUCCUGCUGCAUGGUGGGGGUUGGAAAGUUUCGGCGGUUGGGGAUGGACUCGCGGCUUAUCAGCUUGUUGGUGGGGUAGUGGCUUACCAAGGCUUUGACGGGUAGCCGGCCUGAGAGGGUGACCGGCCACAUGGGGACUGAGAUACGGCCCAGAAUCCUACGGGAGGCAGCAGUGGGGAAUAUUGCACAAUGGGCGGAAGCCUGAUGCAGCAACGCCGCGUGCGGGAUGACGGCCUUCGGGUUGUAAACCGCUUUCGCCUGUGACGAAGCGUGAGUGACGGUAAUGGGUAAAGAAGCACCGGCUAACUACGUG